GAAACUACCCUGCUUUUCCCCCAGUUUUGGUCUGUGAACACAUUUGGGAAAUUCUUCUGAUCCUACCGCUACUCUCUUGAGAGAGAGAAACAAGGGGAAAAAAAGUUAAUUGCCUGAGGAUACACUGCUAGUGUUGCGGGACAAAUAGAGACGGGAGAGGCCAAACAGAAUUCAGGAGAACCCUUUAUUAUUAAGCGCGCUAGGGAGGGAAGCAGGAACUCGUGGUGCCUCAAGGAACGUGAAACGGUGGAACACAGAUAAGCCUCUCCAUGAAGAAACAGCUCAGAUUUGACCAAGAUCACACAAGUAGGAGUUGAGGAAUUGGAACCCACUAUGACUGACUCCAAAUUAAUAUAGUGUUUAUAGCCACUUACA
Molecule: long non-coding RNA, 375 nt
Filed under: Pan troglodytes (chimpanzee)
Lineage: Eukaryota; Metazoa; Chordata; Mammalia; Primates; Hominidae
Description: lincRNA
Source: RNAcentral